UAAGAUCAGUGUUCCUUUCCCUACCUGGUUUCCUCUCCACUCCAGCUCCCUCAUCCGCACACACACUGACUGAGGACAUCACUGGCCUUUCUGCUGAAUCCGGAGGUGUGGGAUUUGACAGAACCGGGUCUAGGAGUCAUAUACGUAAAAGUAAACCUGGCAGCAUAUGGACAUCAGCACAGACAGACACACAGAUAUCCAGAUGUACCUACCCCCUUCAGCAGCCAGGAUCCAAAUCACCUCCAGCAGGAGAGUGAAGAACAACAUGGUAUCCCCGGAAGAAGCAGAGAGAGAUCACAAGUAGACGAAGAGGCAGGCAGAGAGAAAGAGAGAGGGAAGCAGGCUUC
This is a long non-coding RNA of Lutra lutra (Eurasian river otter), 347 nucleotides long. RefSeq lists it as uncharacterized. The transcript is spliced from 3 exons. The record is from RefSeq and is a predicted model, not a curated record. Lineage: Eukaryota; Metazoa; Chordata; Mammalia; Carnivora; Mustelidae.